UAACGAAUCUUCCGCAAUGGGCGCAAGCCUGACGGAGCGACGCCGCGUGUAGGACGAAGUCCUUCGGGAUGUAAACUACUGUCAGGGGUUAGAAAGUUCUGAUCAACCCCAGAGGAAGGCACGGCUAACUCUGUGCCAGCAGCCGCGGUAAGACAGAGGUGCCAAGCGUUAGGCGGAAUCACUGGGCUUAAAGCGUGUGUAGGCGGGUCUCUAAGUGCCUUGUGAAAUCCCACGGCUCAACCGUGGAACUGCUGGGCAUACUGGAGGUCUUGAGCCACCUAGGGGCGAGCGGAACGAAUGGUGGAGCGGUGAAAUGCGUAGAUAUCAUUCGGAACGCCAAUGGUGAAAACAGCUCGCUGGGGGUGUGCUGACGCUGAGACACGAAAGCCAGGGGAUCAAACGGGAUUAGAUACCCCCGUAGUCC
RNAcentral lists this ribosomal RNA (424 nucleotides) under uncultured bacterium. RNAcentral describes it as "bacterial SSU rRNA". It matches the Rfam family "Bacterial small subunit ribosomal RNA", at positions 355 to 796 of the family's 1533-position model. The record is from RNAcentral.